CUCCACCACAAUUAUUGCAAUGGGGUCAACUUUCUCCUCUUCGGUUAACCCGCAGACGAGUCAAUCGUGUCCACCCCCCGAUUCUGAAAGGGAAACCCUGCCACCAUAUACCUCGGCGCGGCCGCCCCCAUACAGUCUACUUCCUCCAUCGCGCAGGUCCAUUUCACGUCGGAACACAUCCGCAGCGACAAAUACCCGAGGCCCGCCACGCUUAUCAAAGAGAAAACUGCUAGACGCCUUCCGCAUCAUUGCUGACUACCUUUCCCAGAGAAACGUGAAUAUCACCAUAAUAGCUUCCACGGAUGUUGUGGAUAUAGUCCAUCUUGAUAUCUUCGAUACGACUGAUGAAGUUACCUUUUUCAACUACAGGCUCGCAAGCGAUGCCGCGGUCGUACUCAGCGAUGCAGUCCACGAAGCCGUGAAGCACCUGGGGCUUCAAGAUACCAGCUUCUUAUUAGAUCCAUGUUUCUCACAAGAGAUGGGGAGGCGCUUGACUGACAAGGCGAUCCACCAGAAUGCCAUCAUCUAUCGCCACGGUGGUCUCACUGUCAUGGCUCCGCCAUGGAGCUAUAUCUUCUGUCGUCAGG
This 587-nucleotide small RNA is filed under the name Histoplasma ohiense. Its description in RNAcentral is "hypothetical lncRNA". Lineage: Eukaryota; Fungi; Ascomycota; Eurotiomycetes; Onygenales; Ajellomycetaceae. The record is from RNAcentral.